GAUGAACGCUGGCGGCGUGCCUAAUACAUGCAAGUCGAGCGAACAGACGAGGAGCUUGCUCCUCUGACGUUAGCGGCGGACGGGUGAGUAACACGUGGAUAACCUACCUAUAAGACUGGGAUAACUUCGGGAAACCGGAGCUAAUACCGGCUAAUAUCUUGAACCGCAUGGCUCAAUAGUGAAAGACGGUUUUGCUGUCACUUAUAGAUGGAUCCGCGCCGCAUUAGCUAGUUGGUAAGGUAACGGCUUACCAAGGCAACGAUGCGUAGCCGACCUGAGAGGGUGAUCGGCCACACUGGAACUGAGACACGGUCCAGACUCCUACGGGAGGCAGCAGUAGGGAAUCUUCCGCGAAGGGCGAAAGCCUGACGGAGCGACGCCGCGUGAGUGAUGAAGGUCUUCGGAUCGUAAAACUCUGUUAUUAGGGAAGAACAAAUGUGUAAGUAACUAUGCACGUCUUGACGGUACCUAAUCAGAAAGCCACGGCUAACUACGUG
Molecule: ribosomal RNA, 497 nt
Filed under: uncultured bacterium
Lineage: Bacteria
Description: partial 16S ribosomal RNA
Rfam family: Bacterial small subunit ribosomal RNA
Source: RNAcentral